This is a long non-coding RNA of Nyctereutes procyonoides (raccoon dog), 579 nucleotides long. RefSeq lists it as uncharacterized. The transcript is spliced from 3 exons. The record is from RefSeq and is a predicted model, not a curated record. NCBI's taxonomy places the organism in Eukaryota, Metazoa, Chordata, Mammalia, Carnivora, Canidae.
AGUGAGAUUAAACACUGUACUCAGGGUGGGUGAGAUUAAACACUCUCUACUUGGUGGCUCAGUGGUUGAGUGUCUGCCUUUGCGGAAGUUAUGAUCCCGGGGUCCUGGGAUCGAGUUCCGCAUCGGGCUCCCCACUGGGGAGCCUGCUUCUCCCUCUGCCUCUUUUUUUGUGUCUCUCGUGAAUAAAUAAUCUUUUUAAAAAAAAGAAAAAACAACUUAUGCUUAUCCAGUGUGUCCAGAUUUCUGUUCUUAGGGCCAAAAAAGUGGAAAUAAUAUUUGAAAUUAGGUUCCCAAGAAAUGGAUCCUUUGAGGAGGAAUAUUAUGCAGUCUUCAUUCUCUUUUUAACUUUAUUGGAAGAAGUAAAUAGUAUCAACUACAGUAAACAGUCUUUUAUUAUGUGACUUCACCAGUGGUUUAAUAUAGGAGUUCUUUACCUACAUGUGCUCUUUUCCAUGGCUUUACAAACACUAUAAAUAAAAUGCAGUCAUUAAGGCCUCACAUUUGUUACAUAAGUAUGGGAAAAAGCAAACCCUCCUUCUGUUGGAUGAGCCGCAAAAUAUAUGACCAAGGUUAAAUUUC